Molecule: transfer RNA, 71 nt
Filed under: Loxodonta africana (African savanna elephant)
Lineage: Eukaryota; Metazoa; Chordata; Mammalia; Proboscidea; Elephantidae
Rfam family: tRNA
About the family: Transfer RNA (tRNA) molecules are approximately 80 nucleotides in length. Their secondary structure includes four short double-helical elements and three loops (D, anti-codon, and T loops).
Source: Rfam by way of RNAcentral
ACAUUGACGGUUCAGUGGUAGAACUCUCCCCUUCCAUGGGGAAUACCCAGGUUUAAUUCCCAGCCAGUGUA